UUUGUUGUGUGAAGUGUGAAACCUACUGCCUUUUUACUUUAUUUCUGUCAUGUUUUUUUUUUUUAGAGUUAGAAAAAAGUCAUUAGGUGCCAUAACCCGUAAUUAAAUACGGAUUACCUUAUUAUUGCAAAAUCCUAAAAUUCAGGCCCACAGAGACUCGAGGUGUAAUUGUGAGGCGACACGUCAAUCACCCACGAGAGGUAACAGAUUGGCUUUGAUUAUGACGCGGUGAUGACAGACUGCUGAUUGACUCAUCUGCUUACAGUGCUGUCCAGAAAAGCCAGCCACACACUCUCUCACUCUGUUCUGUGAGCUCAAAGUGGGGUGCUAUAUAUUUCAAACAACUAUAGUAAUGAAUCCAGUUCCGGUUGCACAAGUUACAGUGCAGAGCAUGCUGAGCUAAGGUUAUAAGGAGCCUGCCACGACAUCUUUCGGUUAUGAGCAGUUCCCCACCGAACAGCGACCCAUCAGCGCUUACGACAGGAAUAUAUGUGGAAAAUAGAAGAAAACUAAUCGAAGGGGAGAGAGAACUUUGAAAACU
Long non-coding RNA from Megalobrama amblycephala (Wuchang bream), 541 nucleotides. RefSeq lists it as uncharacterized. The record is from RefSeq and is a predicted model, not a curated record. Lineage: Eukaryota; Metazoa; Chordata; Actinopteri; Cypriniformes; Xenocyprididae. The transcript is spliced from 4 exons.